Molecule: ribosomal RNA, 253 nt
Filed under: uncultured bacterium
Lineage: Bacteria
Description: partial 16S ribosomal RNA
Rfam family: Bacterial small subunit ribosomal RNA
Source: RNAcentral
UACGAAGGGGGCUAGCGUUGUCCGGAAUUAUUGGGCGUAAAGAGCUCGUAGGCGGUCUGUCGCGUCGGCUGUGAAAACUCGGGGCUCAACUCCGAGCUUGCAGUCGAUACGGGCAGGCUAGAGUUCGGCAGGGGAGACUGGAAUUCCUGGUGUAGCGGUGAAAUGCGCAGAUAUCAGGAGGAACACCGGUGGCGAAGGCGGGUCUCUGGGCCGAUACUGACGCUGAGGAGCGAAAGCGUGGGGAGCGAACAGG